Molecule: ribosomal RNA, 306 nt
Filed under: Triticum aestivum (bread wheat)
Lineage: Eukaryota; Viridiplantae; Streptophyta; Magnoliopsida; Poales; Poaceae
Description: partial small subunit ribosomal RNA
Source: RNAcentral
AUGUUUGACGGAGUUGAGUGGAUGCUUCGGGGAGUCAAGCAUGUGCCAGGGCUAAGGAGGAAUCUAAUUUCGCUUGGUGUUCUUCAUGAUGGUGGUGUAUUCCAUUGUGAUCGGGAUAAGAAGACCAUGAGAAUCAUAGAAGAUGAGGUGACCGUGAUGAUUGGAGCAAGGACGGCUUCGCAUCUUUACAAGUUGCAAGGGAGCACUAUUGCAGGUGGAGUCACGGAGACUGGAGUUGCGGGAGUAGCAGUGGGGUCUCACGGCGGCGGCGGGUCUGGGGCAGACUCGUCGAGUAGCUCUCAGUAA